RNAcentral lists this ribosomal RNA (449 nucleotides) under uncultured bacterium. RNAcentral describes it as "bacterial SSU rRNA". It matches the Rfam family "Bacterial small subunit ribosomal RNA", at positions 328 to 794 of the family's 1533-position model. The record is from RNAcentral.
UGUCCAGACUCCUACGGGAGGCAGCAGUGGGGAAUAUUGCACAAUGGGGGAAACCCUGAUGCAGCAACGCCGCGUGAGUGAAGAAGUCAUUCGUGCUGUAAAGCUCUAUCAGCAGGGAAGAAAAUGACGGUACCUGAGUAAGAAGCCCCGGCUAACUACGUGCCAGCAGCCGCGGUAAUACGUAGGGGGCAAGCGUUAUCCGGAUUUACUGGGUGUAAAGGGAGCGUAGACGGCAUGGCAAGUCAGAUGUGAAAGCCCGGGGCUCAACCCCGGGACUGCAUUUGGAACUGUGUGGCUGGAGUGUCGGAGAGGCAGGCGGAAUUCCUAGUGUAGCGGUGAAAUGCGUAGAUAUUAGGAGGAACAUCAGUGGCGAAGGCGGCCUGCUGGACGACAACUGACGGUGAGGCGCGAAAGCGUGGGGAGCAAACAGGAUUAGAUACCCGAGUAAC